Molecule: ribosomal RNA, 466 nt
Filed under: uncultured bacterium
Lineage: Bacteria
Description: partial 16S ribosomal RNA
Rfam family: Bacterial small subunit ribosomal RNA
Source: RNAcentral
GACGAACGCUGGCGGCGCGCCUAACACAUGCAAGUCGAACGAGCGAGAGAGAGCUUGCUUUCUCGAGCGAGUGGCGAACGGGUGAGUAACGCGUGAGGAACCUGCCUCAAAGAGGGGGACAACAGUUGGAAACGACUGCUAAUACCGCAUAAGCCCACGGCUCGGCAUCGAGCAGGGGGAAAAGGAGCAAUCCGCUUUGAGAUGGCCUCGCGUCCGAUUAGCUAGUUGGUGAGGUAACGGCCCACCAAGGCGACGAUCGGUAGCCGGACUGAGAGGUUGAACGGCCACAUUGGGACUGAGACACGGCCCAGACUCCUACGGGAGGCAGCAGUGGGGAAUAUUGCACAAUGGGGGAAACCCUGAUGCAGCGACGCCGCGUGGAGGAAGAAGGUCUUCGGAUUGUAAACUCCUGUUGUUGGGGAAGAUACUGACGGUACCCAACAAGGAAGUGACGGCUAACUACGUG